This 253-nucleotide ribosomal RNA is filed under the name uncultured bacterium. Its description in RNAcentral is "partial 16S ribosomal RNA". It matches the Rfam family "Bacterial small subunit ribosomal RNA", at positions 524 to 776 of the family's 1533-position model. The record is from RNAcentral.
UACGUAGGGUCCGAGCGUUGUCCGGAAUUACUGGGCGUAAAGGGCGCGUAGGCGGCCUGUUAAGUCGAACGUGAAAUCCCCGGGCUCAACCCGGGAACUGCGUCCGAUACUGGCAGGCUUGAAUCCGGGAGAGGGAUGCGGAAUUCCAGGUGUAGCGGUGAAAUGCGUAGAUAUCUGGAGGAACACCGGUGGCGAAGGCGGCAUCCUGGACCGGCAUUGACGCUGAGGCGCGAAAGCCAGGGGAGCAAACGGG